RNAcentral lists this ribosomal RNA (236 nucleotides) under uncultured bacterium. Its description in RNAcentral is "partial 16S ribosomal RNA". It matches the Rfam family "Bacterial small subunit ribosomal RNA", at positions 85 to 339 of the family's 1533-position model. The record is from RNAcentral.
CUUCGGGUUAGUGGCGGACGGGUGAGUAACGCGUGAGAAUCUGCCCUCAGGAGGGGGAUAACGGUUGGAAACGACCGCUAAUACCCCAUAUGCCGAGAGGUGAAAUGAAUUUCGCCUGAGGAUGAGCUCGCGUCUGAUUAGCUUGUUGGUAAGGUAAUGGCUUACCAAGGCGACGAUCAGUAGCUGGUCUGAGAGGAUGACCAGCCACACUGGGACUGAGACACGGCCCAGACUCC